This 401-nucleotide ribosomal RNA is filed under the name Salmonella enterica. Its description in RNAcentral is "partial 23S ribosomal RNA". It matches the Rfam family "Bacterial large subunit ribosomal RNA", at positions 691 to 1089 of the family's 2925-position model. Lineage: Bacteria; Pseudomonadati; Pseudomonadota; Gammaproteobacteria; Enterobacterales; Enterobacteriaceae. The record is from RNAcentral.
GGCGUUAAGUUGCAGGGUAUAGACCCGAAACCCGGUGAUCUAGCCAUGGGCAGGUUGAAGGUUGGGUAACACUAACUGGAGGACCGAACCGACUAAUGUUGAAAAAUUAGCGGAUGACCUGUGGCUGGGGGUGAAAGGCCAAUCAAACCGGGAGAUAGCUGGUUCUCCCCGAAAGCUAUUUAGGUAGCGCCUCGUGAAUUCAUCUCCGGGGGUAGAGCACUGUUUCGGCUAGGGGGCCAUCCCGGCUUACCAACCCGAUGCAAACUGCGAAUACCGGAGAAUGUUAUCACGGGAGACACACGGCGGGUGCUAACGUCCGUCGUGAAGAGGGAAACAACCCAGACCGCCAGCUAAGGUCCCAAAGUCAUGGUUAAGUGGGAAACGAUGUGGGAAGGCCCAGA